UAGGGAAUCUUCCACAAUGGGCGCAAGCCUGAUGGAGCAACACCGCGUGAGUGAAGAAGGGUUUCGGCUCGUAAAGCUCUGUUGUUAAAGAAGAACACGUAUGAGAGUAACUGUUCAUACGUUGACGGUAUUUAACCAGAAAGUCACGGCUAACUACGUGCCAGCAGUCGCGGUAAUACGUAGGUGGCAAGCGUUAUCCGGAUUUAUUGGGCGUAAAGAGAGUGCAGGCGGUUUUCUAAGUCUGAUGUGAAAGCCUUCGGCUUAACCAGAGAAGUGCAUCGGAAACUGGAUAACUUGAGUGCAGAAGAGGGUAGUGGAACUCCAUGUGUAGCGGUGGAAUGCGUAGAUAUAUGGAAGAACACCAGUGGCGAAGGCGGCUACCUGGUCUGCAACUGACGCUGAGACUCGAAAGCAUGGGUAGCGAACAGGAUUAGAUACCCUGGUAGUCCAUGCCGUAAACGAUGAGUGCUAGGUGUUGGAGGGUUUCCGCCCUUCAGUGCCGGAGCUAACGCAUUAAGCACUCCGCCUGGGGAGUACGACCGCAAGGUUG
RNAcentral lists this ribosomal RNA (550 nucleotides) under uncultured bacterium. Its description in RNAcentral is "bacterial SSU rRNA". It matches the Rfam family "Bacterial small subunit ribosomal RNA", at positions 355 to 896 of the family's 1533-position model. The record is from RNAcentral.